RNAcentral lists this ribosomal RNA (497 nucleotides) under uncultured bacterium. RNAcentral describes it as "partial 16S ribosomal RNA". It matches the Rfam family "Bacterial small subunit ribosomal RNA", at positions 28 to 507 of the family's 1533-position model. The record is from RNAcentral.
GAUGAACGCUGGCGGCGUGCCUAAUACAUGCAAGUCGAGCGAACAGAUGAGGAGCUUGCUCCUCUGACGUUAGCGGCGGACGGGUGAGUAACACGUGGAUAACCUACCCAUAAGACUGGGAUAACUUCGGGAAACCGGAGCUAAUACCGGAUAAUAUAUUGAACCGCAUGGUUCAAUAGUGAAAGACGGUUUUGCUGUCACUUAUAGAUGGAUCCGCGCCGCAUUAGCUAGUUGGUAAGGUAACGGCUUACCAAGGCAACGAUGCGUAGCCGACCUGAGAGGGUGAUCGGCCACACUGGAACUGAGACACGGUCCAGACUCCUACGGGAGGCAGCAGUAGGGAAUCUUCCGCAAUGGGCGAAAGCUUGACGGAGCAACGCCGCGUGAGUGAUGAAGGUCUUCGGAUCGUAAAACUCUGUUAUUAGGGAAGAACAAAUGUGUAAGUAACUAUGCACGUCUUGACGGUACCUAAUCAGAAAGCCACGGCUAACUACGUG